RNAcentral lists this ribosomal RNA (429 nucleotides) under Gemmatimonadota bacterium. RNAcentral describes it as "Gemmatimonadetes bacterium partial 16S ribosomal RNA". It matches the Rfam family "Bacterial small subunit ribosomal RNA", at positions 355 to 776 of the family's 1533-position model. Lineage: Bacteria; Pseudomonadati; Gemmatimonadota. The record is from RNAcentral.
UAGGGAAUCUUCGGCAAUGGACGAAAGUCUGACCGAGCAACGCCGCGUGAGUGAAGAAGGUUUUCGGAUCGUAAAACUCUGUUGUUAGAGAAGAACAAGGACGUUAGUAACUGAACGUCCCCUGACGGUAUCUAACCAGAAAGCCACGGCUAACUACGUGCCAGCAGCCGCGGUAAUACGUAGGUGGCAAGCGUUGUCCGGAUUUAUUGGGCGUAAAGCGAGCGCAUGCGGUUUCUUAAGUCUGAUGUGAAAGCCCCCGGCUCAACCGGGGAGGGUCAUUGGAAACUGGGAGACUGGAGUGCAGAAGAGGAGAGUGGAAUUCCAUGUGUAGCGGUGAAAUGCGUAGAUAUAUGGAGGAACACCAGUGGCGAAGGCGGCUCUCUGGUCUGUAACUGACGCUGAGGCUCGAAAGCGUGGGGAGCAAACAGG